CUUCUUCUUCCUCGCAAUGUUGUUGUUCUUUGCUCUCUCUUUCCAUGUGCUCUCUCUCUGCCCUCUCGCUCACUCGCCUUCUCGCAGACUCCCCUCUCUCUGUCAUGUUCAACUUCCGAAACUACCAAAGGAAGGUUUGCUCAUCUCCCUGAUUUAUACGAGUAACAUGUGAAAAUCUUGGGUUUUGAUCAAGGAAAUUUGUGAAAUUUGUAGGAGAUUUAUGAAAUAUUAGAAAUUUAUAGGAAAUUUUUUAAAUUUGUUAAAUUUGAGAAAGUUGUAGGAAAUAUUCGAAAUUUGUAGAGAAUAUUAAAUAUUUGUAAUUUUACAGGAAAUGUGUGAAAAUUGUAGGAAAUUUCUUAAGUUUGUGAAAUUUGUAAGAAACAUUAGAAAUUUGUAAUUUUGUAAGAAAUAUUACAAUUUUGUAAUUUUUAUAUGAAAUUUAUGAAAUAAUGUCAUUUAACAAUGUGAUUUUGUAUGAAUUUUGAAAUAAUGUAAUUUUGUAAAUUAGUGUUAGCUUUAUUGUGAUUUUAUUCAACGGAUGUCAUCGCGAUUGAUCAUACUGGUCGGCGCUUUGCCUCCAGUUGGGGUUAUAAUGACUCGGAGGCAGAGAUGGCUGAUAUUCCACCGGCGGGAACCAGCAAUACCCAGGUGCCCACGACCGAGUCAGCGGUCAAGUUCACUCCAUUAGCUUUAUCGGUCUGGGAACCCCGAUCUGGCAGGCGUAUUCACCAGUCGGAAACAGCCCGGAGCUGUGCCAACCCAGCACCCGUUGGUGAUGUGGUGGAGGCUGAUGCCAAUUCGGCGACCAUGCCCCCGACAGAGACGGAGAACUCUCAGCUGAGGUGGGAAGAAAAUGAAUAUGCAGGGGAUCUGUAGAGGCUUGUCCUCAAACCAGAUUAUCGCAUAACGCAUGCCAAGAUCGUGGGUAGUUUACCACCCAUGACAUCAGCGAACGGACCUGAAAGCCAAUAGUCUAUUGACGCAAAAUAGGGAAGCCAUCAUCCGCACCAGGUGUCUCAUGCUUGCCCCUAUAUGGAGGAAGCUCGCCCCUGAGGUGCAUGAGGCGAUGAAGAAAGAGAUCAACUUAGAGAUAGACGAGGAAGUGCCGGAUAUGUCCUAGUACAUAAACUGAGUGUGGUCUGAGCAGUACAAGGAGUGGAAGUAUGAGCUGCACCUGUACUACCAGACUUGCGCAUCUCCAGUGGAAGCUCGACCGAUCCACCCUAGAGUCUGCGAAAAGGAUAGACGAGUGGCACUGGCCUUACAGCCAUUUUUAGGGCCCGAAAUUUCUACGAAAAGAGAGGGCAAAUAAGGGUAACCAGGAAGUGAAGCAGUAUCUCCAUUGUUCUCUGCCCCUCACUUUCCACAUCGAGGAACGGUGUGAGAAGGGUUUGCUUUUCCAAGAAGCCAAGACCUGAGGGGAUGCACGUGCCAAUUAUGGCACUUAGGUGGCUGAAGACAUUUAUUUGACACCUGAUCCAUAUGUGUAUCUACAGUUGCUGGUAGACGGGCUUGGGCAACGAAAAGGCCGAGAGUUUCGCAUCUUAGAAGCAGGUCGAGUUCGGGAGCUCUGGAAAUAUUUUUCAUCUACCUCUCAACCUCCAAGCGGGACGUCUUGUAGACUCCAGCAAGUAGAGAUGAAGUUAGAGGCCAUGCACCAGCUAGAAGAAGAAGUGCACCAGCGAGAAGAAGCUCGGGAAGAAGUGCGCCAGCUAGAGGAGGAGUUUCAACAGU
Malus domestica (apple) is the source of this 1734-nucleotide non-coding RNA. NCBI's taxonomy places the organism in Eukaryota, Viridiplantae, Streptophyta, Magnoliopsida, Rosales, Rosaceae. The record is from RefSeq and is a predicted model, not a curated record.